This 253-nucleotide ribosomal RNA is filed under the name uncultured bacterium. RNAcentral's name for it is "partial 16S ribosomal RNA". It matches the Rfam family "Bacterial small subunit ribosomal RNA", at positions 524 to 776 of the family's 1533-position model. The record is from RNAcentral.
UACGAGGGGGGCAAGCGUUGUUCGGAAUUAUUGGGCGUAAAGGGCGCGUAGGCGGUGCGGUAAGUCACCUGUGAAAACUCUGGGCUCAACUCAGAGCCUGCAGGCGAAACUGCCGUGCUUGAGUGUGGGAGAGGUGCGUGGAAUUCCCGGUGUAGCGGUGAAAUGCGCAGAUAUCAGGAGGAACACCAGUGGCGAAGGCGGUGCUCUGGGCCGGAACUGACGCUGAGGAGCGAAAGCGUGGGGAGCAAACAGG